Molecule: unclassified non-coding RNA, 355 nt
Filed under: soil metagenome
Description: partial contains 5.8S ribosomal RNA, internal transcribed spacer 2, and large subunit ribosomal RNA
Rfam family: 5.8S ribosomal RNA (bases 1-120)
Source: RNAcentral
GAUGAAGAACGCAGCGAAAUGCGAUAAGUAAUGUGAAUUGCAGAAUUCAGUGAAUCAUCGAAUCUUUGAACGCACAUUGCGCCCAUUAGUAUUCUAGUGGGCAUGCCUGUUCGAGCGUCAUUAAGUCCACUUAAGCCCUGCUUAGUGUUGGGAGACUGCUCCAGCGGUGCUACCCUGUAGCUACCCUGCAGCUCCUCAAAGACAGCGGCGGAGUUGUGGUAUCCUCUGAGCUUAGUAACUUGUUCUAGCUUUCGAGUACCCCACUUCCCCUGCCGUAAAACCAUUAAUUUUUAAUGGUUGACCUCGGAUCAGGUAGGAAUACCCGCUGAACUUAAGCAUAUCAAUAAGCGGAGGA